Molecule: long non-coding RNA, 2300 nt
Organism: Homo sapiens (human)
Lineage: Eukaryota; Metazoa; Chordata; Mammalia; Primates; Hominidae
Source: Ensembl
UUUUUUUUUUUUUUUUUUUUUUUGAGACGAAGUCUCACUCUGUCGCCCAGGCUGGAGUGCAGUGGCGCAUCUCGGCUCACUGCAAGCUCCGUCUCCCACGUUCACGCCAUUCUCCUGCCUCAGCCUCCCGAGUAGCUGGGACUACAGGCGUCUGCCACCAUGCAGCUAAUUUUUUGUAUUUUUUUUUUUAGUAGAGAUGGGGUUUCACCGUGUUAGCCAGGAUGGUCACGAUCUCCUGACCUCGUGAUCCGCCUGCCUCGGCCUCCCAAAGUGCUGGGAUUACCGGCAUGAGCCACCAUUUCCGGCAACAGGCAGACUUUUAACACAUUCCUUACCUAAACUUUUAAAAGGGACAAAAGAUAUAUGCCUUUGGUUUGGGAGAUGACGAAACAUAUGCUUUAAUGACUAUUGGGUUGGAAUCUUCUUGAGAGAGGAUCCUUCUUAGCCUAGACUAGAGUCUUCAAAAGCCCACAGUGCUUCGUAAAGUUUCAUACGUGGAAGAGAGAAGGAUGUUCCACUGGAAAAGCAGAAUUGCAGCUGAGCUGUCCUGAAAUGCCCAGCACUCUGUGGAGACGCGGAGGAGGUUUCCUGGGACAAAGUGCUGAACCAGAUGGUGAAGCCAAGGCCUGAAGACCUUUCCUGCAAGGUCGCAGAGGAAGAGGCAGAAGAAGGACCAGAACCCAGCUCCCCUGACUCCCUAUCCAGUGCUCUUCUCAUAGAUUACAUUGCUUCAGCAUCCACCUGGCUAUUGCUCCAUCCAGGGGUUACAGGAGUCACUGACUGUUUUGGUUGCUUCUUGGUUGGAGGAUGUUGUGCCUCACCGAUGAGAGCCGGAAGCAAAGGUACCAGUUCUUAGAGGAAGCAUAGGAAUGUGUCCCUUCCUGCUCGGGUCUCUCAACUGAACUCAACCCUUCCUUGAUUGAUUGACAAGCAUGUUAUCUCUCAUAAUCCCUGCCCGGUAAGGGCUGAUGUCCCCAUUUUACAGAUGAGGAUAUUGGAGCUCAGAGAAGUGAAAUGAUUGCUGAAGGUCACACAGCCUGGCUUCAAGCCUCUCGGGCUCCAAAAGGCAUCUUCUGUUCUCUCCGUCAGGAAGCCUCUUUUGGAUGAUUAACUGAGAUUAAAAAUGAAAAGACACAUGAAAGAAAGGUCCUUUUUUUCAACCUGACAAGAACUAAGAAUGCCUCUGUAUUCCAGGCACCCAGACCAGGGUGGGCUGGAAAGCCAGCCAGAGAGAAAGCAGGAGAAAGAAAGCAUGUUCUAACAGGAAGGUUAAAGCACCCUGGGAUGUGAGUUGGGGUGGAGAAGUGAAGAGGGCAGUUCUCACAGGGGCAGAGCUUGGUUUGGGGUAGGCUAGGAGCUGGGACCAGAAGAGGGACAGGGAAGGGUUUAUUGUGGGUCCACGGCCCAGCUCCACUGCAUGGGCCAUCUGACAGCGCCUGACCGAGCAGAAUGCCAGGGUGUAAAGACCCCACUAAUACCCAGUCAAUGAGAGGAACGCCAGAGGAGCACCCAGAAUGUUCUUGUGCAGAGGCAAAGAGCAGGAGUUUGUGACCACAGCUGGCAGUCCAUGUCAUCCUCACUGAACGACCUCUUAGCAUUCCAGGUGGACAAACAUAUUCACAGGUGCCCAGACAAAUGAGGUCUGCGGGAGAGAGACAGGCUACAUCAGAGGUAGACUAUGUAUUUACAUAAAGUAGGAAUAAGAGUCUCAGAAGCCUUCCAAAGCAGAUGUCUGCUUAAACCUCUUGAGCGGUGCCCUCCUUAGCCUGGAAGGAAGGCCUUGCUCAGGUAGUCUCAACCCGCAUCUGUGGUGUGAUUUAACACCUUCCCCUUCAUUCCACCACACUCUAUCUCAAACUAUCUGUUGUUCUCAAACACACAGAACACUUUCACUCCACCAGCUCUUCCACAUGUGAUUAUCUUUGCAUGUACUUCAUCUUUCUCAUCUACAGCCCCACCUGGCAAACUCCUACUCAGCCUUCAAAACCCUGCCUAAAUGUCACUGAAUCUGGAAGCCUUCUUCAUCUUCUCAGUACACAUUUGUCUGUAUUCCUGAUCCUUUGUCUAUAACUCUGGUAAAUCAUUGAUCCUAGUGCACUGUCAAGAACUUGUCCUAUUUUAUCUGUAGAUUCCCAGAGCCCAAUCAAGAUCCUCACAUGUAGAAAGUAGUAGAUCAAUUAAAUAAAGCAAGCACAGCCAGAAUGGCUGGGAAUUUGAGAGCAUGUGCCCCAGAAUGAUUGUACCUCAGACCUGGAAGAAAAUGUGGAGUUGAUCUAAGUAAACCUGAUGUUUGAACGCCU